This 322-nucleotide ribosomal RNA is filed under the name uncultured Ralstonia sp. RNAcentral describes it as "partial 16S ribosomal RNA". It matches the Rfam family "Bacterial small subunit ribosomal RNA", at positions 1238 to 1533 of the family's 1533-position model. The record is from RNAcentral. Lineage: Bacteria; Pseudomonadati; Pseudomonadota; Betaproteobacteria; Burkholderiales; Burkholderiaceae.
UACAGAGGGUUGCCAAGCCGCGAGGUGGAGCUAAUCCCUAAAAAUGGUCGUAGUCCGGAUCGUAGUCUGCAACUCGACUACGUGAAGCUGGAAUCGCUAGUAAUCGCGGAUCAGAAUGCCGCGGUGAAUACGUUCCCGGGUCUUGUACACACCGCCCGUCACACCAUGGGAGUGGGUUUUGCCAGAAGUAGGUAGCCUAACCGUAAGGAGGGCGCUUACCACGGUGGGGUUCAUGACUGGGGUGAAGUCGUAACAAGGUAGCCGUAUCGGAAGGUGCGGUUGGAUCACCUCCCGGAAGGUGCGGUUGGAUCACCUCCAUAAA